This is a long non-coding RNA of Xenia sp. Carnegie-2017, 514 nucleotides long. RefSeq lists it as uncharacterized. The transcript has 2 exons. NCBI's taxonomy places the organism in Eukaryota, Metazoa, Cnidaria, Anthozoa, Malacalcyonacea, Xeniidae. The record is from RefSeq and is a predicted model, not a curated record.
UCAAGAAAUAUAUUUACUACCUAAAUCGAUGGCAUAAAAAACCUAAACAGAUUACUGGGCCGCCAAUGCUCGUACUUACUGUGAAUUGACUUUUAUUAAGCGAUCGUCGUAUUGACUUUUAUUAAGCGAUUGAAGUAGACUGGGUCCAAAGGAACAAUUAGGAGCCAAAUUUUUAAAUUUUGGAGGGAAAAAUCUUAUGGUAAAUAAUUGACCAAAUGAAAUUAACAUUCAAGAAGAGCGCGAUAACUGGUAACAGCCAAACGGACUAUGUACAAUAUGGGGGCAUUCAUCUAUGGCUUUUUUUUCUAUACAUCUGUCGGCGAAUGAUAGAAUAUUAUUCUGGGAGUUUCAAUUCAGAACCACCAUCUUUUCACGCUCAAGUGAACAAGUUUAAGUCAAAUUAUACUAUGGAAAGUUGAUGGCUACAAGAACUAAUUUAGAAAAGUGUUAAAUAACUUUUUGAGAUGUGACGGAAUUAAUAAAAAUCCAAAAUGCGCUUAUAAGCACUUCAAAA